UCUAUAUCUAAAAUGUCAAGCAAAGUGUUACUAAGGUCAAGUUCCUUGUUUGUGUGCAGAAACUUGAAUAAAAGCCGAUUCUAAUUCCAUUUUUGUAUCCAAACUACUUCUCAAAUUUGAAUCUUUUAAACUGUACUUGCCAUUAGUUGCCCAGGAAACCAAAAGCACCAGUCAGACCGAUCGAUUCAAAGCAAACAAGCAAACUUGCGAGGACGUAUUGGACAUCUGUCUCUGCUGAACGCCAGAGCCCAAUCACAAAUGGAGGACGUUGAGGCGGAUGACCAGAGCCACAUGAGCGGCUCAGUGGCGUCUUUACCUUUUGAGUCCCUUUUGAUUCUUUUUGACUUGAGUUCACACUGAUGAUGUAAACUGAACUAUAGCAACAUCAACAGGAGCGAAACUCAUGACGACUGUGUGAGCAAAGUCCGUCCACACUGGAGGGAGGCCAUACAGCUGUGGCCAGUGUGAGAAGAGAUUUACCCGCACACAGAAUCUGACAGUCCAUCAGUACGACUGCAGAAGUCAUCACAUUAUAUCAUGAAGGGAUAUUUUUCAAAAGCCCGUCACCAACAUACAAUGAACAUCUUGGAAUGCAUGGAAACAGUUUCAAUACAAAAAAAUAAAAAUAAAAAUCACA
Molecule: long non-coding RNA, 637 nt
Organism: Gambusia affinis (western mosquitofish)
Lineage: Eukaryota; Metazoa; Chordata; Actinopteri; Cyprinodontiformes; Poeciliidae
Exons: 3
Source: RefSeq, a predicted model, not a curated record